This 253-nucleotide ribosomal RNA is filed under the name uncultured bacterium. RNAcentral describes it as "partial 16S ribosomal RNA". It matches the Rfam family "Bacterial small subunit ribosomal RNA", at positions 524 to 776 of the family's 1533-position model. The record is from RNAcentral.
UACAGAGGGUGCGAGCGUUAAUCGGAAUUACUGGGCGUAAAGGGCGUGUAGGCGGGAGAAUAAGUCAGAUGUGAAAGUCCUGGGCUCAACCUGGGGAUUGCAUAUGAAACUGUUUUUCUUGAGUGAAGUAGAGGGUGGCGGAAUUUCCGGUGUAGCGGUGAAAUGCGUAGAUAUCGGAAGGAACACCAGUGGCGAAGGCGGCCACCUGGACUUUAACUGACGCUGAGGCGCGAAAGCGUGGGGAGCAAACAGG